GACACAACUCAUAGUGACAUCGGAUCCUUGCGAAUCAGUACGCAUAAUCGCUCUGGAGUGUUCAUCGUCGAAUUUUUUGACUAAAACGUCUGGCGAGCUAAGUACACUUAUUUGUCGCGUGUGUUUGCAGAAAUUGUGGACGGUUAAGGAAACUAUCUCCGGUUUCAGGUUUAUCCGGCGAGAAAAAAUUACCAUGCUGCGUAUUUCUCUAUUUUUGCUCACGGCUGUCAUGAUCAUUUCUCAGACGUUUUCCCAUGACGAGUGCAUACCGAAGGGGUACAGGUGCUAUCCAGAGGGAAUCCCCUGUUGUCGCAAACUUGCUUGCGAAGUUCAUAUUUUCUCGUUGAGUGGUCGUGGAUAUUGCGUUGAUGAUUGAUAUCGUGGAGCUUACUGGAGGAUUACAUGAGUAACAACUAGAGUAAAUAUAUUUUCAGAAAAUUCAAUAAAAUCUUACAAAACCUAACCGAUUGAAACAACGAA
Bemisia tabaci is the source of this 480-nucleotide long non-coding RNA. RefSeq lists it as uncharacterized. NCBI's taxonomy places the organism in Eukaryota, Metazoa, Arthropoda, Insecta, Hemiptera, Aleyrodidae. The record is from RefSeq and is a predicted model, not a curated record.